Molecule: ribosomal RNA, 1512 nt
Filed under: metagenome
Description: bacterial SSU rRNA
Rfam family: Bacterial small subunit ribosomal RNA
Source: RNAcentral
AGAGUUUGAUCCUGGCUCAGAUUGAACGCUGGCGGCAUGCCUUACACAUGCAAGUCGAACGGCAGCACAGGAGCUUGCUCCUGGUGGCGAGUGGCGAACGGGUGAGUAAUAUAUCGGAACGUACCCUAGAGUGGGGGAUAACGCAGCGAAAGUUGCGCUAAUACCGCAUACGAUCUAUGGAUGAAAGUGGGGGAUCGCAAGACCUCAUGCUCAUGGAGCGGCCGAUAUCUGAUUAGCUAGUUGGUAGGGUAAAAGCCUACCAAGGCAUCGAUCAGUAGCUGGUCUGAGAGGACGACCAGCCACACUGGAACUGAGACACGGUCCAGACUCCUACGGGAGGCAGUAGUGGGGAAUUUUGGACAAUGGGCGCAAGCCUGAUCCAGCAAUGCCGCGUGAGUGAAGAAGGCCUUCGGGUUGUAAAGCUCUUUUGUCAGGGAAGAAACGGUGGACUCUAAUACAGAUCACUAAUGACGGUACCUGAAGAAUAAGCACCGGCUAACUACGUGCCAGCAGCCGCGGUAAUACGUAGGGUGCAAGCGUUAAUCGGAAUUACUGGGCGUAAAGCGUGCGCAGGCGGUUUGGUAAGACAGAUGUGAAAUCCCCGGGCUCAACCUGGGAAUUGCAUUUGUGACUGCCCGGCUAGAGUGUGUCAGAGGGGGGUAGAAUUCCACGUGUAGCAGUGAAAUGCGUAGAGAUGUGGAGGAAUACCAAUGGCGAAGGCAGCCCCCUGGGAUAACACUGACGCUCAUGCACGAAAGCGUGGGGAGCAAACAGGAUUAGAUACCCUGGUAGUCCACGCCCUAAACGAUGUCUACUAGUUGUUGGGUCUUAAUUGACUUAGUAACGCAGCUAACGCGUGAAGUAGACCGCCUGGGGAGUACGGUCGCAAGAUUAAAACUCAAAGGAAUUGACGGGGACCCGCACAAGCGGUGGAUGAUGUGGAUUAAUUCGAUGCAACGCGAAAAACCUUACCUACCCUUGACAUGUACGGAAUCCCUGAGAGAUUAGGGAGUGCUCGAAAGAGAGCCGUAACACAGGUGCUGCAUGGCUGUCGUCAGCUCGUGUCGUGAGAUGUUGGGUUAAGUCCCGCAACGAGCGCAACCCUUGUCAUUAGUUGCUACGAAAGGGCACUCUAAUGAGACUGCCGGUGACAAACCGGAGGAAGGUGGGGAUGACGUCAAGUCCUCAUGGCCCUUAUGGGUAGGGCUUCACACGUCAUACAAUGGUACAUACAGAGGGCCGCCAACCCGCGAGGGGGAGCUAAUCCCAGAAAGUGUAUCGUAGUCCGGAUUGUAGUCUGCAACUCGACUACAUGAAGUUGGAAUCGCUAGUAAUCGCGGAUCAGCAUGUCGCGGUGAAUACGUUCCCGGGUCUUGUACACACCGCCCGUCACACCAUGGGAGCGGGUUUCACCAGAAGUAGGUAGCCUAACCGUAAGGAGGGCGCUUACCACGGUGGGAUUCGUGACUGGGGUGAAGUCGUAACAAGGUAGCCGUAUCGGAGGUGCGGCUG